AGUCUUCCACUAGCAGCCUUUGGAUGAAGAUGUAGAACUCUCAGCUCCUCCUGCACCAUGACAGCCUGGAUGCUGCCAUGCUCCCACCUUGAUGGUAAUGGCCUGAACCUCUGAACCUGUAAGCCAGCCCCAAUUAAAUGUUGUUUUUGAUAAGACUUGCCUUGGUCAUGGUGUCUCUUCACAGCAAUGGAAACCCUAACUAAGACAGAGUGGCCUGUGGGUUCCCAGGGACUGCCUGCCAGAGUUGGGGGCUGGGAUAAAGCAAGCAGUGGAGGGAAGGAAGUUAAGGGGAAGAUCUCUGUGGUAAUUAGGGCUCAUUAGACUCUGAAACUGAAUCCAAAAUCUUCCGUGUAGUACUGUAGCACGUCAGGGGCUCUGAUGAAGGAAGGGCUUGAUAAAUACGGAUUGUGCGUGCCACUUAAAGCUUGUAUGGAACGCUACUACUAGCAACCAUAAAGUUAUCUCGUUGCUUCUUCAUAACUGUAAUUUUGCUACUGUUAUGCACUGCAAUGUAAAUAUCUAAUAUACAGGAUAUUUGCUAUGCUACUUCUGUGGGGGUCAAGACCCACAGGUUGAGGACCACAGAUCUAGAGCCUUUUGUAUACAAAGCAAGCAUGGCACUACUGAGCUGAAUCCUCAGCUCUAGACUUGGCUUUGGCUUGAACAUAUUCAUCAUUUGUUUGAUUGAUUGUUUGUUUGUUUGUUUGCUCUAGGACUGGUUGUUCUAUUUCUGAGAUCUCUGAGACCCAGCCCACCAGGAACACACAAAUGUGGAACCGAGAUAGGCUGAGGACUUAUUAAACAGAAUUCUGCUGUUCCUAUCCCAGGGUUGGACCAAUGUGUAGAAAAUUGCUUAUGGGAUUCUUUGAAUGACUUUUUCAUUGCGGGAAAUAUUAAAAAUGAACCUGCCAACCUUCCACACUCCUGCUUCUUUCAAGCCACCAACUCAAGAGAUCUGUCUCUGCCUCCUACGUGCUGGAAUCAAAGGUAUGUGACACCAUGCCUUGCUUGUCUUUUUAUGGACACUGAUUUUUAUCUACUUUUGAUAGCUGCUGAGGUAGGU
RNAcentral lists this long non-coding RNA (1063 nucleotides) under Mus musculus (house mouse). RNAcentral's name for it is "long non-coding RNA chr8:57505814-57506877". The record is from RNAcentral. Lineage: Eukaryota; Metazoa; Chordata; Mammalia; Rodentia; Muridae.